Non-coding RNA from Pterulicium gracile, 103 nucleotides. NCBI's taxonomy places the organism in Eukaryota, Fungi, Basidiomycota, Agaricomycetes, Agaricales, Pterulaceae. The record is from the annotation of a GenBank genome assembly.
GGGCCUGUAGCUUAAUGGUUAAAGUGUCCUGUCGCUCGUGAUCCUGACCCAGUUAGGGGAUGACCGAGUGACGCCGAUCUCAGUUCGAGUCUGGGCGGGUCCU